RNAcentral lists this ribosomal RNA (815 nucleotides) under uncultured bacterium. RNAcentral describes it as "bacterial SSU rRNA". It matches the Rfam family "Bacterial small subunit ribosomal RNA", at positions 8 to 822 of the family's 1533-position model. The record is from RNAcentral.
AGAGUUUGAUCAUGGCUCAGGAUGAACGCUGGCGGCGUGCCUAACACAUGCAAGUCGAGCGAAGCACAUCAGCGGAAGCUUUCGGGUGGAAGCAGGUGUGACUGAGCGGCGGACGGGUGAGUAACGCGUGGGUAACCUGCCCUAUACAGAGGGAUAACAGCUAGAAAUGGCUGCUAAUACCGCAUGAGCGCACAGCUCCGCAUGGAGCGGUGUGAAAAACUCCGGUGGUAUAGGAUGGACCCGCGUCCGAUUAGCUGGUUGGUGGGGUAACGGCCCACCAAGGCGACGAUCGGUAGCCGACCUGAGAGGGUGACCGGCCACAUUGGGACUGAGACACGGCCCAGACUCCUACGGGAGGCAGCAGUGGGGAAUAUUGCACAAUGGGGGAAACCCUGAUGCAGCGACGCCGCGUGAGCGAUGAAGUAUUUCGGUAUGUAAAGCUCUAUCAGCAGGGAAGAAAAUGACGGUACCUGACUAAGAAGCCCCGGCUAACUACGUGCCAGCAGCCGCGGUAAUACGUAGGGGGCAAGCGUUAUCCGGAUUUACUGGGUGUAAAGGGAGCGUAGACGGCGAUGCAAGCCAGAUGUGAAAGCCCGGGGCUCAACCCCGGGACUGCAUUUGGAACUGUAAUGCUGGAGUGUCGGAGAGGCAGGCGGAAUUCCUAGUGUAGCGGUGAAAUGCGUAGAUAUUAGGAGGAACACCAGUGGCGAAGGCGGCCUGCUGGACGAUGACUGACGUUGAGGCUCGAAAGCGUGGGGGAGCAAACAGGAUUAGAUACCCUGGUAGUCCACGCCGUAAACGAUGACUACUAGGUG